GAUGAACGCUGGCGGCGUGCCUAACACAUGCAAGUCGAGCGAAAAGACGAUGAGCUUGCUCUCUUGCCGUUAGCGGCGGACGGGUGAGUAACAAGUGCAUCACCUACUUCUAUGUCUGGGAUAACUUCGGGAAACCGCUGACAAUACUGGCUAAUAUAUUGUACCGCAUGGUUCAAUAGUGAAUGACGGUUUUGCUGUCACUUUUAGACGGUUCCGCGCCGCAUUAGCUAGUUGGUAAGGUAACGGCUUACCAAGGCAACGAUGCGUAGCCGAUCUGAGAGGAUGAUCAGCCACACUGGAACUGAGACACGGUCCAGACUCCUACGGGAGGCAGCAGUAGGGAAUAUUCGGCAAUGGGCGAAAGCCUGACGCAGCAACGCCGCGUGAGUGAAGAAGGUCUUCGGGUCGUAAAGCUCUGUUAUUAGGGAAGAACAGAUGUAGAAGUAACUAUGCACGUCUUGACGGUACCUAAUCAAAAAGCCACGGCUAACUACGUG
RNAcentral lists this ribosomal RNA (497 nucleotides) under uncultured bacterium. RNAcentral describes it as "partial 16S ribosomal RNA". It matches the Rfam family "Bacterial small subunit ribosomal RNA", at positions 28 to 507 of the family's 1533-position model. The record is from RNAcentral.